UGAGGAAUAUUGGUCAAUGGGCGAGAGCCUGAACCAGCCAAGUAGCGUGCAGGAUGACGGCCCUAUGGGUUGUAAACUGCUUUUAUAUGGGAAUAAAGUGAGGGACGUGUCCCUUAUUGCAUGUACCAUACGAAUAAGGACCGGCUAAUUCCGUGCCAGCAGCCGCGGUAAUACGGAAGGUCCAGGCGUUAUCCGGAUUUAUUGGGUUUAAAGGGAGCGUAGGCUGUUUGUUAAGCGUGUUGUGAAAUGUAAGAGCUCAACUUUUAGAUUGCAUCGCUAACUGGCUGACUUGAGUGCGCAGAGCGUAGGCGGAUUUCAUGGUGUGGCGGUGAAAUGCUUAGAUAUCAUAACGAACUCCGGUAGCGAAGGCAGCUGACGGGAGCGCAACUGACGCUAAAGCUCGAAGGUGCGGGUAUCGAACAGG
This 424-nucleotide ribosomal RNA is filed under the name Verrucomicrobiota bacterium. Its description in RNAcentral is "Verrucomicrobia bacterium partial 16S ribosomal RNA". It matches the Rfam family "Bacterial small subunit ribosomal RNA", at positions 355 to 776 of the family's 1533-position model. Lineage: Bacteria; Pseudomonadati; Verrucomicrobiota. The record is from RNAcentral.